GAUGAACGCUGGCGGCGUGCCUAAUACAUGCAAGUCGAGCGAACAGACGAGGAGCUUGCUCCUCUGACGUUAGCGGCGGACGGGUGAGUAACACGUGGAUAACCUACCUAUAAGACUGGGAUAACUUCGGGAAACCGGAGCUAAUACCGGAUAAUAUAUUGAACCGCAUGGUUCAAUAGUGGAAGACGGUUUUGCUGUCACUUAUAGAUGUAUCCGCGCCGCAUUAGCUAGUUGGUAAGGUAACGGCUUACCAAGGCAACGAUGCGUAGCCGACCUGAGAGGGUGAUCGGCCACACUGGAACUGAGACACGGUCCAGACUCCUACGGGAGGCAGCAGUAGGGAAUCUUCCGCAAUGGGCGAAAGCCUGACGGAGCAACGCCGCGUGAGUGAUGAAGGUCUUCGGAUCGUAAAACUCUGUUAUUAGGGAAGAACAAAUGUGUAAGUAACUAUGCACGUCUUGACGGUACCUAAUCAGAAAGCCACGGCUAACUACGUG
This 497-nucleotide ribosomal RNA is filed under the name uncultured bacterium. RNAcentral describes it as "partial 16S ribosomal RNA". It matches the Rfam family "Bacterial small subunit ribosomal RNA", at positions 28 to 507 of the family's 1533-position model. The record is from RNAcentral.